RNAcentral lists this ribosomal RNA (906 nucleotides) under uncultured Bacillota bacterium. Its description in RNAcentral is "bacterial SSU rRNA". It matches the Rfam family "Bacterial small subunit ribosomal RNA", at positions 88 to 996 of the family's 1533-position model. Lineage: Bacteria; Bacillati; Bacillota. The record is from RNAcentral.
CUGGCGCACGGCGCACGGGUGCGUAACACGUGGGCAAUCUGCCCUCGGAUGGGGGAUACCCCCGCGAAAGCGGGACUAAUACCGCAUGAAAUUCCGAAGACCUCGGUCUUUGGACUCAAAGCCCGCAAGGGCGUCUGAGGAGGAGCCCGCGCCCGAUUAGCUAGUUGGUGAGGUAACGGCUCACCAAGGCAAUGAUCGGUAGCCGGUCUGAGAGGAUGGCCGGCCACACUGGAACUGAGACACGGUCCAGACUCCUACGGGAGGCAGCAGUGGGGAAUAUUGCGCAAUGGGCGAAAGCCUGACGCAGCGACGCCGCGUGGGGGAUGAAGCUUUUCGGAGUGUAAACCCCUUUCGACCCGGACGAAUGACCCGCAAGGGUUUGACGGUACGGGUAUAAGAAGCCCCGGCUAACUGCGUGCCAGCAGCCGCGGUAAUACGUAGGGGGCCAGCGUUGCUCGGAAUUACUGGGCGUAAAGGGUUCGUAGGUGGUGCGGCAAGUUGGGAGUGAAAUCUCUGGGCUUAACCCAGAGGCUGCUUUCAAAACUGCCGUGCUCGAGUGCGAGAGAGGUCAGUGGAAUUGCAGGUGUAGCGGUGAAAUGCGUAGAUAUCUGCAGGAACACCCGUGGCGAAGGCGGCUGACUGGAUCGCAACUGACACUGAGGAACGAAAGCUAGGGGAGCAAACAGGAUUAGAUACCCUGGUAGUCCUAGCCCUAAACCAUCAGGACUUGGGGUGGCCCGCGUAGGCGGGUCGUCCCGUAGCUAACGCGUUAAGUCCUGCGCCUGGGGAGUACGGUCGCAAGACUGAAACUCAAAGGAAUUGACGGGGGCCCGCACAAGCGGUGGAACAUGUGGUUCAAUUCGACGCAACGCGAAGAACCUUACCUGGGCUUGAACCGCUACUGAC